This 208-nucleotide ribosomal RNA is filed under the name uncultured bacterium. RNAcentral's name for it is "partial 16S ribosomal RNA". It matches the Rfam family "Bacterial small subunit ribosomal RNA", at positions 568 to 774 of the family's 1533-position model. The record is from RNAcentral.
CUCGUAGGCGGUUCGUCGCGUCCGGUGUGAAAGUCCAUCGCUUAACGGUGGAUCCGCGCCGGGUACGGGCGGGCUUGAGUGCGGUAGGGGAGACUGGAAUUCCCGGUGUAACGGUGGAAUGUGUAGAUAUCGGGAAAGAACACCAAUGGCGAAGGCAGGUCUCUGGGCCGUUACUGACGCUGAGGAGCGAAAGCGUGGGGAGCGAACA